UUACGGGAGGCAGCAGUGGGGAAUUUUCCGCAAUGGGCGAAAGCCUGACGGAGUGACGCCGCGUGGGGGACGAAGGCCUUCGGGUUGUAAACCCCUGUCAGAGGGAAAGAAGGCGUUGCGGGUGAACAGCCCGCGACGUUGACGGUACCUUCAGAGGAAGCCCCGGCCAACUCUGUGCCAGCAGCCGCGGUAAGACAGAGGGGGCAAGCGUUGCUCGGAAUCACUGGGCGUAAAGGGCGCGUAGGCGGGAUGGCAAGUCGGUCGUGAAAUCCCUGGGCUCAACUCAGGGGGGUCGGCCGAUACUGCCGUUCUUGAGGGAUGCAGAGGAGACUGGAAUUCCCGGUGUAGCGGUGAAAUGUGUAGAGAUCGGGAGGAACACCGGUGGCGAAGGCGGGUCUCUGGGCAUUCCCUGACGCUGAGGCGCGAAAGCGUGGGGAGCAAACGGGAUUAGAUACCCUGGU
RNAcentral lists this ribosomal RNA (461 nucleotides) under uncultured bacterium. RNAcentral describes it as "bacterial SSU rRNA". It matches the Rfam family "Bacterial small subunit ribosomal RNA", at positions 339 to 791 of the family's 1533-position model. The record is from RNAcentral.